GAUGAACGCUGGCUACAGGCUUAACACAUGCAAGUCGAGGGGAAACGGCAUUAAGUGCUUGCACUUUUUGGACGUCGACCGGCGCACGGGUGAGUAACGCGUAUCCAACCUUCCCAUGACUAAGGGAUAACCUGCCGAAAGGCAGACUAAUACCUUAUGGUCUUCACUGACGGCAUCAGAUGUGAAGUAAAGAUUUAUCGGUUAUGGAUGGGGAUGCGUCUGAUUAGCUUGUUGGCGGGGUAACGGCCCACCAAGGCAACGAUCAGUAGGGGUUCUGAGAGGAAGGUCCCCCACAUUGGAACUGAGACACGGUCCAAACUCCUACGGGAGGCAGCAGUGAGGAAUAUUGGUCAAUGGGCGAGAGCCUGAACCAGCCAAGUAGCGUGCAGGAUGACGGCCCUAUGGGUUGUAAACUGCUUUUGUAUGGGGAUAAAGUCAAUCACGUGUGAUUGUUUGCAGGUACCAUACGAAUAAGGACCGGCUAAUUCCGUG
RNAcentral lists this ribosomal RNA (492 nucleotides) under uncultured bacterium. RNAcentral's name for it is "partial 16S ribosomal RNA". It matches the Rfam family "Bacterial small subunit ribosomal RNA", at positions 28 to 507 of the family's 1533-position model. The record is from RNAcentral.